UCACAUGCUGAGACGAACAAAUUGACUAGAAAAAUCUCCUACUUCUUAUUCAUAGAUCGUUUCGAUCAAGGAGAUAAAAAUGGCAUUUAUCUUGGAGUUUGCCGAGAACUUAAUUCUGAGGUUGAUGGAGGAUCCAGUUGAAAGAGAUCGCAAAUUCAGAGACCAUAUGUAUGAUCUAAGGGAACAUUGUGAGAAGACAAAAGAGAUGUGGAGCUACCCUAUUCGUCCUUACGGGUUCUGGACAUUUGACCGCCACAAUUCUCAGAUUUUCUGGGAUGCUCAGAUUAGCCAUGUCCGAGGUCGUAGGGACCCCUAUGAUGAUCUCCUGCGAGAGCACCAGGUUGGCUCAACCUCCAAAUAAAUUGAAAGAAGGUUGGUCCAAGCAGGUGAUGGCCCCCAGAUUCUGACAAAAUGUUGCACAACUUCGACUGCAGACGAGACUAAUAAAGUAGCGGUUGGAUCUUUUUGCCCUUGAAUCGUUGUUAUGCAACUGUUCAGUAGAGGCUUCGACUUUCCAAAUAAAAUUUUAAUUUGAGAA
This is a long non-coding RNA of Cynara cardunculus var. scolymus (artichoke), 538 nucleotides long. RefSeq lists it as uncharacterized. Lineage: Eukaryota; Viridiplantae; Streptophyta; Magnoliopsida; Asterales; Asteraceae. The record is from RefSeq and is a predicted model, not a curated record. The transcript has 3 exons.